AGCUGUAACAAUUUAUGUAUUAUUGAUUGUUGUAUUUUGAUGUAUUGAUGUUGUACAUUACAAUUUCUAUAUAUAGAGGAGAAGAUGGUAGUGGAGUGUGUGAUAGUGGAGGUGGAUGGUAGUGGAGUGUGUGAUAGUGGAGGUGGUAGGUGUGGAGUGUGUGAUAGUGAAUUCUAACAUAAGCAUUAGAGAUUGUAAAUGUGCUGGAUUUCAUGUUGUGCAUUUUCUCAUAUAGUUUUAUCAUUUCUUUAUGCCGUCAUAUGGAUACAGCAGAUGAAGAAGGGUUAAUUACAUCAAGACCCCUUAACUAUUGGUAAAUAUCACAUUACUCCCUCAUGUAUGAAUCCAUACAUUUUAACCCCCUCAACUAUAAAUCCGUACAUAUACACCCUUUUGGAGGAGGCAAGAAUGGGUGUAAGUGAUGCAUUUUUAUGGUUAAGGAGGUCAAAAUGUACAGGUUCAGAGAUGAGGGGGGAAAGAUGAUAUUCACUAAAAGUUGAAGUGAUCUUAGUGUAAUUAACCCGACAAAUAAUCACUAAAUGCACAUAGGGAUGAAAUAUUCCAAUAACUUACCCAUUUGACUUCUGGG
This is a non-coding RNA of Camellia sinensis, 589 nucleotides long. Lineage: Eukaryota; Viridiplantae; Streptophyta; Magnoliopsida; Ericales; Theaceae. The record is from RefSeq and is a predicted model, not a curated record.